UACGUAGGUGGCUAGCGUUGUCCGGAUUUACUGGGCGUAAAGAGCGCGCAGGCGGUCGUUCAAGUCGAGUGUGAAAGCCCCCGGCUCAACUUGGGAGGGUCACUCGAUACUGAUCGACUCGAAGGCAGGAGAGGGAAGCGGAAUUCCCGGUGUAGCGGUGAAAUGCGCAGAUAUCGGGAGGAACACCGGUGGCGAAGGCGGUUCUCUGGGCCUUACCUGACGCUGAGGAGCGAAAGCGUGGGGAGCGAACAGG
RNAcentral lists this ribosomal RNA (253 nucleotides) under uncultured bacterium. RNAcentral's name for it is "partial 16S ribosomal RNA". It matches the Rfam family "Bacterial small subunit ribosomal RNA", at positions 524 to 776 of the family's 1533-position model. The record is from RNAcentral.